GGAUAUAGCUCAGUUGGUAGACUGCUUGCUUUGCAUGCAAAGGCCCUGGGUUCAAUCUCCAGCACCA
This 67-nucleotide transfer RNA is filed under the name Marmota monax (woodchuck). Its description in RNAcentral is "tRNA.Ala". Lineage: Eukaryota; Metazoa; Chordata; Mammalia; Rodentia; Sciuridae. The record is from RNAcentral.